RNAcentral lists this ribosomal RNA (484 nucleotides) under uncultured bacterium. RNAcentral's name for it is "partial 16S ribosomal RNA". It matches the Rfam family "Bacterial small subunit ribosomal RNA", at positions 29 to 507 of the family's 1533-position model. The record is from RNAcentral.
AUUGAACGCUGGCGGCAUGCUUUACACAUGCAAGUCGAACGGCAGCGCGGGCUUCGGCCUGGCGGCGAGUGGCGAACGGGUGAGUAAUACAUCGGAACGUGCCCAGUAGUGGGGGAUAGCUCGGCGAAAGCCGGAUUAAUACCGCAUACGACCUGAGGGUGAAAGCGGGGGAUCUUCGGACCUCGCGCUAUUGGAGCGGCCGAUGGCAGAUUAGCUAGUUGGUGGGGUAAAGGCCUACCAAGGCGACGAUCUGUAGCUGGUCUGUGAGGACGACCAGCCACACUUGGACUGAGACACGGCCCAGACUCCUACGGGAGGCAGCAGUGGGGAAUUUUGGACAAUGGGCGAAAGCCUGGUCCAGCAAUGCCGCGUGUGUGAUGAAGGCCUUCGGGUUGUAAAGCACUUUUGGCGGGAACGAAAAGGACUGUGCCAAUACCACGGUUCGAUGACGGUACCCGCAGAAUAAGCACCGGCUAACUACGUG